ACNUGCAAGUUGAACGGGAUCAGUUGUAGCAAUACGACUGUGAGAGUAGCGCACGGGUGCGUAACACGUAUGGAAUCUGCCCCUAUCUGUGGAAUAGCCCCUCGAAAGAGGGAUUAAUACCACAUAAUAUAAUGAGUAGGCAUCUAUUUAUUAUCAAAGCUCAGGCGGAUAGGGAUGACCAUGCGGCUGAUUAGCUAGUUGGUGAGGUAAUGGCUCACCAAGGCUACGAUCAGUAGGGGGUCUGAGAGGAUGUCCCCCCACACUGGUACUGAGACACGGACCAGACUCCUACGGGAGGCAGCAGUAGGGAAUAUUGGUCAAUGGGCGCAAGCCUGAACCAGCCAUGCCGCGUGCAGGAUUAAGGCCCUAUGGGUCGUAAACUGCUUUUGUACGGGAAGAAACCUCAUUACGUGUAAUGAGUUGACGGUACCGUGAGAAUAAGGAUCGGCUAACUUCGUGCCAGCAGCCGCGGUAAUACGAAGGAUCCAAGCGUUGUCCGGAUUUACUGGGUUUAAAGGGUGCGUAGGUGGAUGAUUAAGUCAGUGGUGAAAGCUUGCAGCUUAACUGUAAAAUUGCCAUUGAAACUGAUCGUCUUGAAUAUGGUUGGGGUGGGUUGGAAUGUUGCAUGUAGCGGUGAAAUGCUUAGAUAUGCAACAGAACACCGAUUGCGAAGGCAGAUCACUAAACCAUUAUUGACACUGAGGCACGAAAGCGUGGGGAUCAAACAGGAUUAGAUACCCUGGUAGUCCACGCCCUAAACGUUGCAUACUCGGUCUUAGCGAUAAACAGUUAGGACCCAAGCGAAAGCGUUAAGUAUGCCACCUGGGAAGUACGACCGCNANGUUGAAACUCAAAGGAAUUGACGGGGGCCCGCACAAGCGNANGANCAUGUGNUUUAANU
This 901-nucleotide ribosomal RNA is filed under the name uncultured bacterium. RNAcentral describes it as "bacterial SSU rRNA". It matches the Rfam family "Bacterial small subunit ribosomal RNA", at positions 53 to 951 of the family's 1533-position model. The record is from RNAcentral.